Molecule: long non-coding RNA, 3432 nt
Organism: Brassica napus (rape)
Lineage: Eukaryota; Viridiplantae; Streptophyta; Magnoliopsida; Brassicales; Brassicaceae
Exons: 3
Source: RefSeq, a predicted model, not a curated record
AUAAGGUAGAAGUAUUGGCAGAGAUGUAUGUGGAGUGGCACACUUGUUACCUAUGAAGGAAACCGAUAAGGUAGAAGUAUUGGCAGAGAUGUAUGUGGACCAAAUUGUGAGGUUGCAUGGAGUGCCAACAAAUAUAGUCUCCGAUCGAGAUAUUAGAUUUACCUCAAAUUUUUGGAAGGCGUUACAAGAGCAUUUGAGAACCAAAUUGUUCAUUAGCACUGCGUAUUAUCCCGAGAUAGACGACCAAACCGAAAAAACCAUUCGCACUAUAGAAGUUAUGAUGGGAAUGUGUAUAUUGGAUUGGGCGGGAAGCUGGGAAAAGCAUUUACCAUUAAUUGAAUUCUCCUACAACAACAGCUUUCAUUCUAGCAUAGGUAUGGCACCAUAUGAAGCGCUUUAUAGGAGGCCAUGCAAAGCACUUUUAUGUUGGACCGAAGUUGGGGAAAGAAGCGAGUUUGGACUCGAAAUUGUAGAAGAGACGAUGAAAAAGUUGGAGAUCAUUCAAACCAAUAUGAAGAAAGCGCAUGAUAGACAAAAGAAGUACGAUGAUCAAUCAAGGCGAGAAGUGGUGUUCAGUAUUGGUGAUUGGGUUUAUCUGAUAGUGUCAGCUCAGAAAGGAAAAGAUUGAUUCGGGAAAGUCGGGAAACUUGCGAUAAGAUUCAUCGGGCCUUACCAGAUUGAAGAACGAAUCGGAGAUGUUGCUUACCGUCUCAAACUGCCCGAAGAGAAGCGGAUACCUCCGGUGUUUCACGUAUCAAUGCUAUGGAAACAUGUUCAUGAUCCCAAAGCUAUUGAGACGGAGCAAAUCGAAAACCUGCAAACAAACCUCACUUUUUCAGAGGGACCGAUCUGAAUAGGUGAACGUCGAAUACGAAAACUAAAGAACCGAGAGAUUCUUUAAGUCCAAGUCUUCUGGGGUAAGCGAAACCGUGUAAUUGUGACCUGGGAGGAUGAGUCAAGGUUCAAAGCAUCGCACCCAGAGUUCUUUUAUGAAGAUGUAGUGAUGGAAGAAGGGGAAUCAUCGAAACCUUAGAGAAUUCGGGGACGAAUUCUUAUAAUGGGAGGAGGAUGUAAUACCCCGUCUAAAAAAAAUAAAAAAAAAUAAGGGUUCAGAAUAGUAUCGAUGGAAAAUGGAGUCAUCGAAAUUUGACUACAGUUUAAUGAUAUGGUGCAAUGUCAUUAAAUAUAAGUUAAUAGCUUAAUUGGAUAAUUAAGCGGUCUUUUUUAAGUGACCAAUGAAGUUGGGGUUUUGGUCACCAGAUUUGGAUCAAUUAAUCAUGCUUAAAAAAAAGGAUGAAGAAGACGUGUCAAGGAAGAAGAAGAGAAGGUGAUGACUAAUUUGAUAUUCAUGCAAAAAUGCAUGCAUACGUGUUAAAAGAAGGAAACAAGAAAAGAGUCAACUGAUAACUCAUUUUAAUGAGUACGUGGCCUGGUUAUAGAAGAAACAUGUAAUGCCUUGAAACAUAGUCAUGAUCUGAACGUGGCUUGGAGAAAAUGAUGCACCAAGGCUUAGUAAUAUUUUUUUAAUAUGGCCAAAUGGAGAGCGUGACAACUGUCACCAUAUUACACAUCAAAGUUGGCUAUAAAAGGAGAUUGGAUUUUCUCCAUUUCAGGGAACUCAGCGUGACCAAGAGAGAGAAGGAAACAAAGAAGAAGAGACAAGAGAAAUAAAAGAAAAGAAGGAAAAGAAAAAGAGAAAAAAAAAAAAUAAAUUUAGAGCGUUGUUUGGAGAAGCAAGACAUAUUAAAUUACGAGAUUUCGGGAAUAUCAGUACGGAAUCAAGACGAAGGUUUGGAGUGGUUAAGAAGGGUUUGGUUCCUGACGUCGGAGACGGCUUCCGAGCUAAGAUAGCCGAACCGGUCUAGGUGUCAGUCUGUAGAUCCGAGGCUUGAGACGAUGUCUGGGCUAAGUGGAUAGCAAGACUAGUCUAAGCACCCGGAUUAUUGUGAUUGUGUGAUUGUUAUAUUUUGUUAUGGUGUGUACCUCGUGUUGGUACUGUUGUGUGAGAACCUCGUGGUGGUUAUAGUAGUAGUUUGCAGGUCAUUGCUUCCUCAAAUGCUACCACUAAGCCGGUCGUGGUCCGGAAAGUGGUGGGCUCGGUUUAACUUGGCUUUAUCACCAAGGACGAGUGUCGCACGUGGAUGUGACAGUCCCCGACGAGUCUGAUAGAGGAUCGGGGCACGGCGAUUCCGAUUGAAGACCGUGACCAGGUGACCAGUAGAAAGGACCGUAGCACUCGCGGAACUGUAGGAGCUGGUGUAGAUUGGUCAUCUUUUGCUAAAGACUCGUUUUCAAGAUAUAUGAAUGUAUGUUUUACUUUCAACUGCGUCCAUGGACCCUAUGUAUUAUUUUUUGGCCUUGUGAACUUCAUGGUUUAUAUAUAUGAAAUAAAGUAUGUUUUAUAUUCGUGACGUGUUGAAUCUGAUAUUAGGUUAGUCUAACCUAACACAACUUUAUGACUCGGUACGGGUUGCAAAGCCUCACGCCGAAGAUUAGAGGAAACGAGUUUUGAAUGAAUAUUCUGGGUUACAGAAUUAUGUUUUGUGGCUUGGAAAUUCUAUUCUCAACCCGUCGUAACACUUCCGGACUUGGUAGAGGAAGGUCGUUGGAACAUGUUCUUGUUUGAUUGUUGCCCGGCUGACUGACCGAUGUCUAAAACGGUAUGGGGGUGUUACAGACUUGCCUUCCUUUUAUAGAAGAUGGGGUUGUUACUUUUUAACCAUUGCAUCCCUUCGGUAUCAAUUCUGGCCAUUGAUUUAAUCAAUGGUCAAGAUCACACCCAUUCGCCUAUGGCAGUUACCAAACGCCCUGGAAUUGUAAAACCACUCCUGGACAUGUCCAAAACAAGCCCACACGGAUUGCCCUUGCCCAUGGCCUGACCAGAAGAGCUCACCGACCCAUAUUCAUCCUUGGCCAACCAACCGGCCCGAUAACCGCCCAGAACUGACACACUGGUCUGAGCUUCCAACACUCCAUCCAGCUUAGUUGAGCUGACUCCCAGCUGACCCAGCUGAGUGAGCUAGUAGUCCAGCUAGCUGAGCUGGCUGAACUUGAUGUGAGCUAUAUUGAGCUUGUCCGAGCUUCUCCCAGCUAACCGAGCUUCAUUCUCGCAUCGUCCAUCUGUCUCAUCACUCGUCCAGCUUGCUCUCUUCAUCUUAUUCAAUCUUACUAAGUCCCUUGGUCUAUUUCCAGACCUAGACUUAGUUUUCUCUUGAUCCAUCCUGAUCAUUCACUUCAGACCAAGAACUAUUCGCCACUGCUCUAUCCAAUCUGCAGUGUACUAAAUGUGAAUGGCGUUGGCCUCUCCAAGAAAGAAAAGAAAAAAAAUUUCUUGUGUGCUUCAGAUCAAAGAGGUCACAUUCUGAGAGAAAGGAUCGGAAGGAGCUGAACGAGAUCUUAGGUCUCUCUAUACCUCCCGCCUUUUCAGAGUUG